AUAUCCAGGAAGGUAACUGGGGGAGCGCACGGUCGCUGUGGGCAGAGUGGGUUUGCCGCCCAGGAGACGGCAGUGGUGGAGUGCGCCCUGUGGGAGGGAUGCAGCAGGCGUGGCCAGUGUCGCUCGGCCACCCCAGGCCAGGCGUCCCACGGCGCACCCGGGGCUGCGCACCCGGGGCCGGGCCGCCCUGAGCCCCGCCGGGGUGCAGCAGGCAGCGAGAGUUCUCUUUUGUUUGAAAGCAGAGGUUGCCCCAGAGUCUGACGAUUCUAAAACAAAAAGGCUGUGCGCGGUCCAGUGAGGCCUCAGGCCCAAGCCCAGAGCCAAGUGAGCGUCUCCACCGCCCACCCUGGCACGGCCGAGGGCUCUUCCAGGGCCAGGCUGGGACUGGGACCCUGGAAAACCAAAACGCUGUGCCUUACCCAGCCAGAACGCACAAUCUGGGCGACCCCGCCUGGCCCCGUCUGACCCCGCCUGGCCCCUGCACGUGCCAGCUGCCAUGGUCUGCUUUCUAACUGCCUGCACCCAGCCUGUUCCGGCAUGCGCCGGGUGCACCGGGCGCCCUAGGCUGCAGGGGCAGGGCCCGCGCGCACCUCUGCACCCCUCCCUGGGUACCCGCACAGCAACCCCUUCAUGGGCAGCCCUGCGCAGGCCCACCCCUCCACAGCCCCUCCACGGCUGCUUUGUCACGGAGGUGCCUCAGGGAGCCUUUGCCAAGGUGGGAGUGAGGGGACUCAGAGACAGGCCAAGGUCCCUACGUCUGUCUACCCUCCAUCCCCCCAGCAGCCCGAACCUGGUUGUCAUUUCAACAGAAACCACUCUACCCCCAGGGCCACCUGCCUGGCCUGGAGGGCACCAGAGGGCUGCAGAGGAUGUGGCUUCUGCCCCUCACUGGGGUCCCCUGCCGAGCCUGGCCUCCCCAGGUGUGUGUGAGGCCCCGGCUGGCAGGCCUUAACCAAUAAAGGCCGGACUCAGCCCGCA
Tupaia belangeri chinensis (Chinese tree shrew) is the source of this 978-nucleotide long non-coding RNA. RefSeq lists it as uncharacterized. The record is from RefSeq and is a predicted model, not a curated record. The transcript has 2 exons. Lineage: Eukaryota; Metazoa; Chordata; Mammalia; Scandentia; Tupaiidae.